AUACUUACCUGGCAGGGAGACACCAUAUCUGGAAGGUGGUUUUCCCAGGGCGAGGCUCAUCCAUUGCACUUGGAAUGUGCUGACCCCUGCAAUUUCCCCAAAUGCAGGAAACUCAACUGCAUAAUUUGUGGUAGUGGAGGACUGCAUUUGUGCUCUCCCCUU
Small nuclear RNA from Nannospalax galili (Upper Galilee mountains blind mole rat), 162 nucleotides. Its record names the gene U1. It matches the Rfam family "U1 spliceosomal RNA". Rfam says of the family: U1 is a small nuclear RNA (snRNA) component of the spliceosome (involved in pre-mRNA splicing). Its 5' end forms complementary base pairs with the 5' splice junction, thus defining the 5' donor site of an intron. The record is from Ensembl. NCBI's taxonomy places the organism in Eukaryota, Metazoa, Chordata, Mammalia, Rodentia, Spalacidae.